Molecule: ribosomal RNA, 673 nt
Filed under: uncultured bacterium
Lineage: Bacteria
Description: bacterial SSU rRNA
Rfam family: Bacterial small subunit ribosomal RNA
Source: RNAcentral
CGCCCCGCACAUUGGACUUAGACCUGGCCACGAGUUCCUACGGAGGCAGCAGUGGGAAUUUUGGACAUUGGGGCAACUGAUCCAGCAUGCGCGUGGAGUGAAGAAGCUCGGUUGUAAAGCUUCUUUCGGCCGGGAAGAAAUCGCAUCUCCUAAUACGGGGUGUGGAUGACGUACUGAAGAGAAGCACGGCUAACUACGUGCCAGCAGCCGCGGUAAUACGUAGGGUGCGAGCGUAAUCGGAAUUACUGGGCGUAAAGCGUGCGCAGGCGGCGCCAUAAGACAGCUGUGAAAUCCCCGGGCUUAACCUGGGAACUGCGGUUGUGACUGUGGUGCUUGAGUGCGGCAGAGGGGGGUGGAAUUCCACGUGUAGCAGUGAAAUGCGUAGAGAUGUGGAGGAACACCGAUGGCGAAGGCAGCCCCCUGGGCCAAUACUGACGCUCAUGCACGAAAGCGUGGGGAGCAAACAGGAUUAGAUACCCUGGUAGUCCACGCCCUAAACGAUGUCAACUAGGUGUUGGGUGGGUUAAACCAUUUAGUACCGUAGCUAACGCGUGAAGUUGACCGCCUGGGGAGUACGGCCGCAAGGUUAAAACUCAAAGGAAUUGACGGGGACCCGCACAAGCGGUGGAUGAUGUGGAUUAAUUCGAUGCAACGCGAAAAACCUUACCUACCC